AGGUGGAGCGAAUCACAAAACUCGGUCUCAGUUCAGAUUGCAGGCUGCAACUCGCCUGCAUGAAGUUGGAAUUGCUAGUAAUCGCGAAUCAGAAUGUCGCGGUGAAUACGUUCCCGGGCCUUGUACACACCGCCCGUCACACCAUGAGAGUCGAUAACACCCGAAGCCUGUGAGCUAACCUUUUAGGAGGCAGCAGUCGAAGGUGGGGUUGAUGAUUGGGGUGAAGUCGUAACAAGGUAUC
RNAcentral lists this ribosomal RNA (241 nucleotides) under uncultured bacterium. RNAcentral's name for it is "partial 16S ribosomal RNA". It matches the Rfam family "Bacterial small subunit ribosomal RNA", at positions 1260 to 1500 of the family's 1533-position model. The record is from RNAcentral.